GCCGGGGUGGCGAAAUGGCAGACGCGCCGGACUCAAAAUCCGGUGGUGGCAACACCAUGAGGGUUCAAGUCCCUCCUCCGGCA
Molecule: transfer RNA, 83 nt
Filed under: Lentisphaerota bacterium
Lineage: Bacteria; Pseudomonadati; Lentisphaerota
Description: Lentisphaerae bacterium (groundwater metagenome) tRNA-Leu
Rfam family: tRNA
About the family: Transfer RNA (tRNA) molecules are approximately 80 nucleotides in length.
Source: RNAcentral